CCUACGGGCGGCAGCAGUGAGGAAUAUUGGUCAAUGGGCUUACGCCUGAACCAGCCAAGUCGCGUGAGGGAAGACUGCCCUAUGGGUUGUAAACCUCUUUUGUCAGGGAGCAACGCCGGCUACGUGUAGCCGGACUGAGAGUACCUGAAGAAAAAGCAUCGGCGAACUCCGUGCCAGCCGCCGCGGUAAUACGGAGGAUGCGAGCGUUAUCCGGAGUUAUUGGGUUUAAAGGGGGCGUAGGCGGUAUGCCAAGUCAGCGGUAAAAUCGCGGGGCUCAACCUCGCGCGGCCGUUGAAACUGGCGUUCUUGAGUGGGCGAGAAGUGUGCGGAAUGCGUGGUGUAGCGGUGAAAUGCAUAGAUAUCACGCAGAACUCCGGUUGCGAAGGCAGCAUACCGGCGCCCAACUGACGCUGAAGCACGAAAGCGUGGGUAUCGAACAGGAUUAGAUACCCGUGUAGUC
This 460-nucleotide ribosomal RNA is filed under the name uncultured bacterium. RNAcentral's name for it is "partial 16S ribosomal RNA". It matches the Rfam family "Bacterial small subunit ribosomal RNA", at positions 338 to 795 of the family's 1533-position model. The record is from RNAcentral.